RNAcentral lists this ribosomal RNA (370 nucleotides) under Peritrichia sp. RNAcentral describes it as "SSU rRNA". It matches the Rfam family "Eukaryotic small subunit ribosomal RNA", at positions 585 to 972 of the family's 1831-position model. The record is from RNAcentral. RNAcentral also lists the same sequence under 1 other name. Lineage: Eukaryota; Ciliophora; Oligohymenophorea.
CCAGCUCCAAAAGCGUAUAUUAAAGUUGUUGCAGUUAAAAAGCUCGUAGUUGAAGUUCUGGCUGUAUUGGGCCUCUGCUUUAUUGCGGAGGAACCAGCAGUCAUCCGCUUGCAAAUACAUGUCCUUCCUUAACCGGUAGGCUGUAUAAGUAAGCACUUUACCUUGAGAAAAACAGAGUGUUCCAGGCAGGUUUGUCCGGAAUGCGUUAGCAUGGAAUAAUAGAAUAUGACUGAAGUCGAUUUAUUGGUUUAAGGCUUUAGUAAUGAUUAAUAGGAACAAUCGGGGGCAUUGGUACUUGUCAGUCAGAGGUGAAAUUCUAGGAUUUGACAAAGACUAACUGAUGCGAAAGCGUUUGCCAAGAAUGUUUUCA